UACGUAGGGUGCGAGCGUUAAUCGGAAUUACUGGGCGUAAAGCGUGCGCAGGCGGCUUUGCAAGACAGAGGUGAAAUCCCCGGGCUCAACCUGGGAACUGCCUUUGUGACUGCAAGGCUAGAGUACGGCAGAGGGGGAUGGAAUUCCGCGUGUAGCAGUGAAAUGCGUAGAUAUGCGGAGGAACACCAAUGGCGAAGGCAAUCCCCUGGGCCUGUACUGACGCUCAUGCACGAAAGCGUGGGGAGCAAAC
RNAcentral lists this ribosomal RNA (250 nucleotides) under uncultured bacterium. RNAcentral describes it as "partial 16S ribosomal RNA". It matches the Rfam family "Bacterial small subunit ribosomal RNA", at positions 524 to 773 of the family's 1533-position model. RNAcentral also lists the same sequence under 1 other name. The record is from RNAcentral.